Molecule: microRNA, 22 nt
Filed under: Human alphaherpesvirus 2
Lineage: Duplodnaviria; Heunggongvirae; Peploviricota; Herviviricetes; Herpesvirales; Orthoherpesviridae
Description: hsv2-miR-H13
Gene: hsv2-miR-H13
Source: miRBase by way of RNAcentral
UUAGGGCAAAGUGCGAGCACUG